UCCCUCCUGGCUCAAUCGGUAAAGAGUUUGCCUGCAAUGCAGGAGACCCGGUUUCGAUUCCUGGGUUGGGAA
Molecule: transfer RNA, 72 nt
Organism: Ovis aries (sheep)
Lineage: Eukaryota; Metazoa; Chordata; Mammalia; Artiodactyla; Bovidae
Rfam family: tRNA
About the family: Transfer RNA (tRNA) molecules are approximately 80 nucleotides in length.
Source: Rfam